Long non-coding RNA from Etheostoma spectabile (orangethroat darter), 779 nucleotides. RefSeq lists it as uncharacterized. The record is from RefSeq and is a predicted model, not a curated record. The transcript has 5 exons. NCBI's taxonomy places the organism in Eukaryota, Metazoa, Chordata, Actinopteri, Perciformes, Percidae.
UCAUGUUUUGGCGGGAUGUUGUCAUAUCACCCGAGACCCCUACAUCUAAAUCAAAGACCUCACCUGUUACAUGGCGUUUGUGCUCGCCCUUUGACACACAAACGGUCACAGGCUUUCAUAUCUUCAGCGAUACAGCCUGGUUCAGAGUCAUUGCCGAGCUGCUGUCGCCAGACACCAUGCUAACCUUUGCACCCACUCAGCUGUACAGCAGCGGUACAGACAGUGGAAGCCUCUAGCCAAGUGGGCUUGGAAUGUUAUGUGGACUAGCUGGACCCUCCUCGCAGUGCUGUGGAGGAAGGUGUGGCAAUGCAAGACUCGUAGACACUCAACAAAAGAAGACAGAGUACUAACCGUAUCUGCUGAUGCUGCGUGGGAAGCUGGCGGAGGAAGGGAUAUUGAAAGAGGACAUCUGUUUGGGCACCAAGGCCACCACACAGCGCUCGGACACCUGGAAGACAAAGAUGAAAGUGAAUGGUGGUCUUGCUUUCAGCUCUAAAGGAGAGAGAGGUCUGCUUCAUCUGCCUGAGUUUCAUUCUGUUGGUAAAACCAGCUGCAAACGUUUUUUGUUUUUUUUAUGUUUCAGAGCAUCUCCUAUAAAACACAGCAAUAAAAAACAGCCCCCCUAUACACAUUCCAUUUCUAAUGAUUUCUCAUAAACCAUUAAUUAUGAACCUGGGCUGUAACCCAAGCCUGAAGACGUGAAUACAAAGUGUUUGACUUUGUGUUUUUCAGUGUCAGAGCGAUGUAUCAUCAGAGGUCAGCAAUAGAUUGAGGAAAAA